GGAGGAGGGAGAGGUGGAGUGAGACAGAUAAAGGUAUAGGAGGUGAGGAGGAGGGAGUGGUGGAGUGAGACAGAGAUAAUGGUAUAGGAGGAAAAGAGGAGGGAGAGGUGGAGUGAGACAGAGAUAAUGGUAUAGGAGGAAAAGAGGAGGGAGAGGUGGAGUGAGACAGAGAUAAUGGUAUAGGAGGAGGGAGAGGUGGAGUGAAACAGAGAUAAUGGUAUAGGAGGAGGGAGAGAUGGAGUGAGACAGAGAUAAUGGUAUAGGUGGUGAGGAGGAGGGAGAAUGAGAGGUGUAGUGAGACAGAUAUAAAGGUAUAGGAGGAGGGAGAGGUGGACUGAGACAGAGAUAAUGGUAUAGGAGGUGAGGGAGAGGGCAAGGUGCAGUGAGACAGAGAUAAUGGUAGAGGAGGGGAGGAGGGAGAGGUGGAGUGAGACAGAGAUAAUGGUAUAGGAGGUGAGGAGAGAUGGAGGGAGACAGAGAUAAAGGCAUAGGAGGUGAGGAGGAGGGAGAGGUGGAGUGAGACAGAGAUAAAGGCAUAGGAGGUGAGGAGGAGGGAGAGGUGGAGUGAGACAGAGAUAAAGGUAUAGGAGGUGAGGAGGAGGGAGAGGUGGAGUGAGACAGAGAUAAAGGUAUAGGAGGUGAGGAGGAGGGAGAGGUGGAGUGAGACAGAGAUAAAGGUAUAGGAGAUGAGGGAGAGGUGGAGUGAGACAGAGAUAAAGGUAUAGGAGGUAAGGGAUUGGGAGUGGUGGAGUGAGACAGAGAUAAAGGUAUAGGAGGUGAAGAGGUGGAGUGAGACAGAUAUAAAGGUAUAGGAGGUGAGGAGGAGGGAGUGGUGGAGUGAGACAGAGAUAUUGGUAGAGGAGGAGGGAGAGGUGGACUGAGACAGAGAUAAUGGUAUAGGAGGUGAGGAGGAGGGAGUGGUGGAGUGAGACAGAGAUAAAGGUAUAGGAGGUGAGGA
Oncorhynchus tshawytscha (Chinook salmon) is the source of this 958-nucleotide long non-coding RNA. Lineage: Eukaryota; Metazoa; Chordata; Actinopteri; Salmoniformes; Salmonidae. The record is from Ensembl.